CUUUUGGUAUACACCUACAAUCCCAGGUAAUGGGAAAGCUGAAACUGACAGAUCUUUAGACAUAAGGAAUUCUGAGCUAUAGUGGGCUAUGCCAGCUGGUUGUCCACACCAAGUUUAGCUUCAGUAUGUGAGCCUAUGGGAGCAAGGCACCAUCAGGUUGCCUAAGGAAGGAUGAAUCUGCCCAGGUUGAAAACAGCAGGUUAAAGUUCCUGUGCCAGUCAGUAGCAGGACUGGUCUCAAGAGCAGCCCCUUAACAUCUAGCCUGGGAGAAAAUGGGAAAUAU
This 283-nucleotide non-coding RNA is filed under the name Phascolarctos cinereus (koala). Lineage: Eukaryota; Metazoa; Chordata; Mammalia; Diprotodontia; Phascolarctidae. The record is from RNAcentral.